This 329-nucleotide RNase P RNA is filed under the name human gut metagenome. RNAcentral describes it as "Bacterial RNase P class A". It matches the Rfam family "Bacterial RNase P class A". Rfam says of the family: Ribonuclease P (RNase P) is a ubiquitous endoribonuclease, found in archaea, bacteria and eukarya as well as chloroplasts and mitochondria. Its best characterised activity is the generation of mature 5'-ends of tRNAs by cleaving the 5'-leader elements of precursor-tRNAs. Cellular RNase Ps are ribonucleoproteins. The record is from RNAcentral.
UACGGUAGCAUGAACGCUUUUAGUUUAUGAGGAAAGUCCGAGCAUCAUAGAGCAGAAUAGCUGUUAACGACAGCCGAGGGCGACCUUAGGGCUAGUGCAACAGAAAUAAACUACCUUCUUUUAGGUACAGGUGGAAAGGCGAGGUAAAAGCUCACCAGAGUGUAUGAGAGUACACUGCUAUGUAAACCCUAUUUGAUGCAACGUCUAUUGGUGCAAUCUAUUUUAACGUCUGCUCGGCGUAUAGAUUGUAAUGACGGCUUUAACCAUACGGCAACAUAUGGUAUAGAUAAAUUACCGUACACGACAGAACUCGGCUUAUCGGUCUAGUC